AUUGCUAUAAAUUUUGAAAAAUUCUAGAUCACUCUACAUUCUUGAUAUUAUAGAAGAACAAAAAAAAGGUUUGAAAGAAAAUGCAUCUUUUGAGGGGGAGCUUUAAAUACUCAAUCUCUUUAUUGAAAAUUAUCUUCAAACUCUAAAUUCUCAAAUGGGGAGAAAGAAAAUUUCAGAAUGAGAGAUCAUAUGGAACUUAAUCGUAUAAAUUCGCAUCUAAAGAUGAGACAAAGAAUACUAAAUGUAAAGUGGUAUUAAACUUUAUGCUUCAUUGAAUAUCUUUUGAAAGUUGGAUUUCCAUCUGUAUUCAUCGGUAAAUCAUUUAUUUCUGAAAAUUAAUUGAAAAGGAUUCCAUCUGUCUUAGUUUCGAAAAUUUAUCUUGGAAUCUACUUAUGAGUUCUUAUUGGCUUGCACUUUAGUGUUUCAAUCCUGAGCCAAUUCAUUUUAAUUGAUUUUGAUGUUAUGAUCUUUAAAGGAGUAAAAGAAAGUCUUUAAGAGAGCUCUAAAAGAACUUCCAAAGCCUUGAAUUUUAUGUAUCCUACACUGCAUAAAUUCAUGUUUUGGUAUCUAUACCCCAAUACUUUUAUAUCAUGAAAGAACUUUGAAGUCAUUAAGAAUUAAGGAUUCAACAUAAUCUUAUGUUCUUUGAGUAUAUAAGGUUUGAUCUUUAUUUGCUCUUAUACUAUACUCUGAAAAUUAAUUAGAUUGCUCUCAUCUUGCUAUAUACUUAAUAUAUAUAUAUAUAUAAAA
Molecule: long non-coding RNA, 750 nt
Filed under: Phoenix dactylifera (date palm)
Lineage: Eukaryota; Viridiplantae; Streptophyta; Magnoliopsida; Arecales; Arecaceae
Description: long non-coding RNA (PDAC_LNC017922)
Source: RNAcentral